Dermacentor silvarum is the source of this 526-nucleotide RNA transcript. RefSeq lists it as uncharacterized. Lineage: Eukaryota; Metazoa; Arthropoda; Arachnida; Ixodida; Ixodidae. The transcript has 3 exons. The record is from RefSeq and is a predicted model, not a curated record.
GCAGGCGACUGUUACUGCCAACACAUCCGUGCAUGGCCGGGCUGAAAUCAGGAGCCGUUCAGCUCAGGUGCAAGAUCUAAACGUAACUGGCAAAUACACUGCACUGAGGCCUCACGUCAUCACGAAGGGGAAGUUCAAGGCACGUCUGCAAUGCCUCCACAUCUACACAGAGAUUGCCAUCUGCAGCAGCCGUCCAAAACUGGAGACGCUUGAGGUAAUGAAAAUGGAAGGACUCAGCCUCAUGUCUGCAAAAGGCAUGACUGUGUUCCUGAACUGGAUGCUGCUCACUGUGAUUGACAACUUCGUAAACCGCAACCAGGCACAGCUGUUCAGAAUGAUACGAGAAGCCUCAUGGAAAGCUUUUGCAGUGCAUGUGAUGAGUGUUCUGCCUCAUCUUGAUGUAAGGUAUAUUACAAAGAAGCAGCCAUGCCACCAUGAAGAACUAAACUGAAAGUCUUAAGAAAACAGCCAUGGGAACCUUGUGGUCCAUUGAUUACGAAUUACUAGAAAAUGCCAAACCAACUAU